CUACGGGUUGCACCAGUGGGGAAUAUUGCACAAUGGAGGAAACUCUGAUGCAGCAACGCCGCGUGGAGGAUGACACUUUUCGGAGCGUAAACUCCUUUUAUAUAGGAAGAAGAUGACGGUACUAUAUGAAUAAGCGCCGGCUAACUCCGUGCCAGCAGCCGCAGUAAUACGGAGGGCGCAAGCGUUACUCGGAAUCACUGGGCGUAAAGAGCGCGUAGGCCGAUUAAAAAGUCAGAAGUGAAAUCCUAUAGCUUAACUAUAGAACUGCUUCUGAAACUCUUAAUCUAGAAUAUGGGAGAGGUAGAUGGAAUUUCUGGUGUAGGGGUAAAAUCCGUAGAGAUCAGAAGGAAUACCGAUUGCGAAGGCGAUCUACUAGAACAUUAUUGACGCUGAGACGCGAAAGCGUGGGGAGCAAACAGGAUUAGAUACCCUCGUAGUC
This 439-nucleotide ribosomal RNA is filed under the name uncultured bacterium. RNAcentral's name for it is "partial 16S ribosomal RNA". It matches the Rfam family "Bacterial small subunit ribosomal RNA", at positions 339 to 795 of the family's 1533-position model. The record is from RNAcentral.